Molecule: long non-coding RNA, 512 nt
Organism: Xenia sp. Carnegie-2017
Lineage: Eukaryota; Metazoa; Cnidaria; Anthozoa; Malacalcyonacea; Xeniidae
Exons: 5
Source: RefSeq, a predicted model, not a curated record
UCGACCGUCAAAACUAUUGAAAAUAUCGAUGUGAUAUAUUUCAAAAAUAAGAAAAUAAACAUCGGGCCGGCAGUUAGGAAGGAGGCCUCCUUCGUACAGCCAGAGUUAGUCUACUGGCCUCAAAAUACAUACAUUCCCCAACAGACCCAAUGUUACAUGGGUUAUUCACCAGUGAUGGACCCUAUUUAUUGGAAUUGUUAUUUCUGCGUCAAUCAGCAAGUUCCAAAUGCCAGUAAUAUUCCAGCUCAGACUCCAAGGAUGGCGAGGAGAUAUAGAGCAAAAACUGACGUGCCUCCUCGAUUCCGAAAAGAUAGAUUUUAACAAAGAUUAUAGGCCGCUACACCUAGAUUUUUGGGUAGUGCCUUGACAGGACGUCUACGAUGGUGUCGCAUACCCAACUAUUAUCAUUUAGUGUAUUCAAAUCUCUUUUGUAAAUGCUUAUACCACCGAAACAAGCAACUCUGGAAUCAAAAUGAAAACGUAUCAAGAAUAAAAGGAGUCAUUCUUAUUUU